AUGAAGGAUAUCAACAAAAUGCAACUUCACAAGGCUGGCUGUGUGGUCCUGUCUGUGAGCAACCAAAGCAUGGAUUACCCCAAAUGGAUAGGUCACUGUUUGCAGGACCGCGGCCUCUCAGUGGAAUUGAUUUACCUGCAGGCGGAGUCGGGCCUGACCCGGCCCUACAAGAUCUCCGCUCCAACGGUUCCCCCUUAUGUAUUCUCGUCGAACAGACCAAUGUAGCUCUGUCCUCGUGCACAGUAAUCAUAUUUUCAGAAUCCCUCAGAAUCCACUGCAACAUGCCCAAGGACCAUGCCAUGGACUUUGUGAUGGCGGAGUAUGGCCGUGGGCUUGGGCAGCGGAUGCAGCAGAGAAGGACCCUGCAGAAACGGGGGCGCGGGCGGCCGAGCUGGUGGACGACUACCUGGAGAGGGUGAAGGUGGAGAAGCAUGCCGUGCCCUCUGACACCCGCCAGCUGCUCUUCUUCCUGGCCGAUGGAGUCCACCUGUACCCCGAGGAGCUGAGCACCAUUGCAGAGUAUCUCCGCAACUGCCAGGACCAUCUGCAAGCCACGUCCAAUGAGACAGGUGAUGGCCCCCUUCCUGAGAGGACGAAGAUGUUGCCUCCUGGUUUAGGGAAACCCCCACCUCUGCUACCUACCCCCUCAGGCCCUCGUGGCAGAGAGACACCCCCUGGGAGGAGAGAGCACUCUGCUACACCCCUCAUGACUUCUCCAGGCCCAAGACCAAGCCCCCUCCACUGCUGUCCAUGCACAAGGGUCAAGGGCCCCCUCAUGGUCCCCCACCCCCUCGCGCCCCCCUUUCUACACACGGCCUCCGUGGUCCAUUACAUCGAGGACCCCCACACCACCACGGCCCCCGAGGAGCCCCACCCUCACUGAAGAGCCUUCAUAUGGGACCCCAGCCUGGGCUGUUCACCUGUUCAGCUUAGUCACAUGCUUUACUGUUUCAUACCUGUCACGUGUCAUCUUAGGUUAGCCUCACUUGUUCCUUCAUGCCUGUCACGUGUCAUCUUAGGUUAGCCUCACUUGUUCCUUCAUGCCUGUCACGUGUCAUCUUAGGUUAGCCUCACUUGUUCCUUCAUGCCUGUCACGUGUCAUCUUAGGUUAGCCUCACUUGUUCCUUCAUGCCUGUCACGUGUCAUCUUAGGUUAGCCUCACUUGUUCCUUCAUGCCUGUCACAUGUCAUCUUAGGUUAGCCUCACUUGUUCCAUGAAAAUGAAAUGUAAGCGUCUUAAAGAGGAAACGCACCAGAGGGAUUUAGAAGUGGGUGGCCGUCCUAUCGCCACGGACCAUAGAAAACUGUCCGUCGUGUUCUUUUCAUUUCUCGAUGCUUCUACAUGUUGAAUUGUCACUGUUCUUCAACACCCAGCAGGUAAUUGACUGCACGGCGUAUGUUCGUUAUGGCGUGUCUUCUCUCUUUGUGUCAGCAACACACAAUACAAAACAGCAACGUUGAUGUAACAUGUUCGAUGUCCACAAAUGUUAUCCAACCAUGUUCCUCUCUCCUGCCUGAUCAGGUGGUCUCCCUAACACACCCAGGCGCUGAGAGAACAUAAUCUCUAGAACAGCAUGGACAGACGGCAGAAAGCAUCAGGACUCAUUGUCAUACUGGCCUGAGGAGUGGGAUCUCCUUCAGCUCAGUGCCCUCUGCUGCCCCCUCAGGAACCCACACUAGCACUCCUCAUCCAGACCCAUGUGUAGAUAGUGGAUCCAUAGUUCAGCAAGCUGAAGUGGAAUAUUGUGAGUUGCCUUUGACUAUUUGGAAGUUCACAGCUCAAUAUUUAUGAGUGUGAGUUGACCCACUACUAUGUUCAGGAGCCAGUCAGAACAAAUGAUCAGGUUUUAAGUUUCAUUCCCAGAUUCUUUGUUUUAUAUUUGUCUGUUUUUGUCUUUCUUUUAACUGGAAAUUGUGUGUCAAAUGUUAUGCCGGUAAUACAUAACACAAUAAAGGCUAAACAAGUCAAAAUAUCUAUA
Salmo salar (Atlantic salmon) is the source of this 1978-nucleotide RNA transcript. It is a transcript of the gene named nuclear receptor coactivator 5-like, with no coding region annotated. NCBI's taxonomy places the organism in Eukaryota, Metazoa, Chordata, Actinopteri, Salmoniformes, Salmonidae. The record is from RefSeq and is a predicted model, not a curated record.